GUGUGUGUGUGUGUGUGUGUGUGUGUGUGUGUGUGUGUGUGUGUACAGUGUGUGUGCAUACACACACACACACACACACAAAAAGGACAU
RNAcentral lists this microRNA precursor (90 nucleotides) under Podarcis lilfordi (Lilford's wall lizard). The record is from RNAcentral. Lineage: Eukaryota; Metazoa; Chordata; Lepidosauria; Squamata; Lacertidae.